UUUCUUUUCUUACUUCUUUCUUCUCCAAACUUCUUGGGCACUAAACUUGGAGCUUUUAACCCCAAUUUCCAACACAUACAAACCCUAGGAGAAGAAGAAAGAAAAAGAGAGAAAGGAAGAAAAAAGCUUGGUUUUGGUGAUUCAAGCAUGGAACGGUAAGAAUUCUUGUUUUUUUCUUGAGUAGUCUUUGAAAAUGAGUUAGUGACUUAGAGAAAUGUCUUGUGAUAGCAAAGAUUGGCUUGAUUGGAAAAAAAAUUGGUAACAUGUAAGCAAAUAAACCCAUGGGUACAUGAAGGAUUCAAAGUGGAAAAGGAAAAUGAUAAGCUUAACACUAUAUUUUAAAGCCUACGGUUAGUUGAAUAUUGUGAGGAAUUACGGUUGUUGAAAGGAUCUAUUUGCCUAAGCUAAUUGAAAAUUAUUAAGAUUGUAUGGCAUGUUGUUUGAAAGAAAUGAAAAAGGAAUAUUGUGGAUAGAGGAUUGAGAAACAAAGUAUUGAAAGUUAGAUAGAUAACGAUGCAUGUAAACUAGGAAAUAAUCGAGUGAAAGUGAGAAUGAUUAUUGCUGCCAUAUAUGUGGAUUAUGUGUGAAAAUAUAUAGUCACUUAAUGGUAGAUGGAAGCUAGUUAAAAAUAACUAGCAGAACAUGAUUUAGUGGAUAGCUUUUAGAACUAUACUUAUGCAAAUUGGGUUGGUUGUGAUGUUGUUGUGAUGAUAGGUCCCAACGAGGCCCCACAGUUCCAUUUGGGCCAUUAGUGAAGGUUGAAGUCGAGUAAAGAUUCAACAAAUAUCGGUGAGUGAACCCGCACUAAAAUGUUUUGGGUAGAUGUGCAUACGUUUGAGCGAACCAUUUAAACUGUUUAAAUUAUCUUUUCUUCAAAAUGCAUGGGAGCAAGCCUUUAGUGAAAUGUUUUUGUGGUGUGGAACAUGAUUGUGAUGAAUCUAUGUACUUUUAUAUGACGCUGAUAUGUAUAUAAGGAUAUACAAUAUAUACAUAUAUUGUUAAGUAAUUUUGUAUAAUUGAUGUAACCGUGCAUGUGCGGAGUGGGCAGUGGACAUGCUGGUUGAGUGAGGCUGCUUGUAGCGAGGGUUGUCCCCUAUGAGUUGAGCCAUCGCUGAAGGAGGAAAGGGUUGCUUGUAGCGAGGGUCAUCCCCUAUGAGUGGAGCCCAACCGUGCAUGUGCGGAGUGGGCAGUGCACAUGUCGGUAAUGAUACUAUCGUGAUAUUUAUAACCGUGCAUGUGCGGAAUGGGCAGUGCACAUGCCUGUAAUGAUGCACAUCAGCCUGGUGAGGUGAUGGUGGUGUAAGUGCUUAUAUAUAUACAUAUUUACUAUAUAGAGAUGUUUGGAUUUAAAAUGUGAUUGCACUGACUGUUGAAAACUUGAGCAUUGUCAAUAUGUUCAAUUUAAUGUUCAAUAUGGCAUGAGUGGAUUUUUUCGGUGGCAGUGAAAGCCCCUUGGAUUUUUAUCUGGCCAGAAUUUCGUUGCAGCAAGAAUGCCUUUUCGCUGCGGUGAGAGUCAAUCUAUUAUGCUUGACUUGCUUGCAAUCUACUAAAGUUUUCACUUCUCAACUUCCUUGUUACUUAUGAGUCUUUUGUCAUCAAGUAACUAAACGACCAAGGGUUGGAAUGAGGGGUUUUUAAAUAGAGAUAAAUUAAAUUGCAUUAUUUUGAAUUUAAGUGCAUCAUGCUUUCUAAACCUUCCUUAACAUUGCUUGUUCCCUUCCUAUGUUCACUCACUGAGUUUGUACUCACGUUUUAAAAUUCAUGUUUUAGGUUUUCCUGAGUUAAAGGUAAUUGGAUCCUAGGACGAGGUGCUCCUUCCUAUACAUUGCUUGAUAGGUUUAACGUGACUCUAAGUGAUAUCAAUCGUGCCCAGAGUCACUCCGCUGGCGGUCAAGUUCUAAUUACGUGUAUAUGAAUACUUGUUGAAAAAUGCUGAGAUUCAUUUGUCAAACUAUAUAUGUGUAUUAUGGUUGAUGAUGUCAUUUUGAAAGCAUAGUUGAGGUUUAUGAAUUGUUUUCAGAGGAACUAUAUUUGAACGAUACAGAUUUUGAAUUUUAAAC
RNAcentral lists this long non-coding RNA (2060 nucleotides) under Theobroma cacao (cacao). RNAcentral's name for it is "long non-coding RNA (TCAC_LNC004410)". The record is from RNAcentral. Lineage: Eukaryota; Viridiplantae; Streptophyta; Magnoliopsida; Malvales; Malvaceae.